Nycticebus coucang (slow loris) is the source of this 771-nucleotide long non-coding RNA. RefSeq lists it as uncharacterized. NCBI's taxonomy places the organism in Eukaryota, Metazoa, Chordata, Mammalia, Primates, Lorisidae. The transcript is spliced from 3 exons. The record is from RefSeq and is a predicted model, not a curated record.
CAGUCAUUGGUCCAUGUUUGAUUACUCUUCAUGUCACUGAAUAAUUCAUCCUCUCCUGGACCUUCUGCAGCAAGCUGCUAACAUCCCUUCUUUGUCCGUGGACCUCAUCUAAUCUACCUUCAUUGCAGGAAAACCUACCUUCUUUCCAAAGAAUCUACCCUGUGUGGAGACGCCACCAUUGCCUUGUUAUUAAAGACUGUUGAUCCUAUUCUCACCCCUUAAAUGAAGAGUUUGACUUAGUGCUGUUCACCUUGAAGGGAGGCACAUUCUGCACAGUCUGAAGAUGCUGCAUGAAUUACCUUUCCCUCUGUCACCCACCCCCAAGAAGGGAAUAAAGUGUAAUGGACCAAGGAGGAAGGUGGGGAGAGGGAAGGACAGAGAAGUGAAAUACAGCAGGUUUGGGAAAAGGAUAUAGCCUUUGUGAUUAAUAUUAAAGUUCUGAGCUCACAGACAUCAAAUUUUAUUCUCUCUUUCUGAGAUUUGGAUGAACCUUACCAUACCUGGCUUGGAGCAAAAGUCUCUUGCUAAAUGAUAUUAAAUAUCAGGAAUAAAAAUGUCCUUAAAUUUUGUGCUUUUUAAAAAACUUUUGAAGUUCAACUGAGUAUUGGAAGAUACUCUGUCGACUUCAGAACUUGCCAAUAGCAUACAUGCAUUGCUUUAACCUCUCCAGUCCCCAUUCUGGUCACCCCAUUUGCAUAUUCAGUCAACCUUUGAAUAACACAGGUUUGAACCGAUCAGGUCAACUUAUAUGCAAACUUUCUUUCACCUCUG